GUCACUUCACUCCGUCUGAUGGAAGCUGAAGUGAAGCACGGAGCUCCUUUUCUACACGGACCUGCUGAGGACAGAAGAGAGCUGCUCACUGAGGAAGUUCAUGUCUACGAGCUCACAGGUUGGUGUGAAGGUGUGAAGGUGUGGACUCUGCUAUGAAUCAGGCUGAGGACCCAGAGGACGGAGUCCCUCCCUCUGAAGCCCCUCUGUGUGGGGAACAUGACAGCCAGACCAAAGCUCAGAGGACCCAUCAGAGACCAGGACCUGGACCUGGACCCAGCUGUGUGUCCAUGAAGAGUAACCGGUCUAUGGAUCCUCCUCUAAACUUCAAAGAUGUUGGUCCCUCUGUUGAUGCAAGGGCCCUUCAGCAGUGUCCAGUGAUGGAGGGAGAGCUCCAUGGAGGACUUGGCGAGACCUGUUGGGACUAAACCAAACUGACUGGUGAAGAAAACAGUGAGCUGAAAGACUGAGCUGUUGAUUGUCAGUGGGGACCAGCAGGACCAGUAGACCUAAACCACUACAGGGAGUCAUGUGGUCCACAUCCAGACCUCACGUCAUGGACCUUUACCUUGUUUUGGUCUCUUUGAGGACGGACACCAUGUGAGCUGAUGCUUCAUGAUUAGAUGAUG
Long non-coding RNA from Gasterosteus aculeatus aculeatus (three-spined stickleback), 626 nucleotides. Lineage: Eukaryota; Metazoa; Chordata; Actinopteri; Perciformes; Gasterosteidae. The record is from Ensembl.